RNAcentral lists this ribosomal RNA (253 nucleotides) under uncultured bacterium. RNAcentral describes it as "partial 16S ribosomal RNA". It matches the Rfam family "Bacterial small subunit ribosomal RNA", at positions 524 to 776 of the family's 1533-position model. The record is from RNAcentral.
GACGAACCGUGCGAACGUUGUUCGGAAUCACUGGGCUUAAAGGGCGCGUAGGCGGCUGAUCAAGUCCGGGGUGAAAUCUUUCGGCUUAACCGGAAAAGUGCCUUGGAUACCGGUCAGCUUGAGGGAGGUAGGGGCAUGUGGAACUUCCGGUGGAGCGGUGAAAUGCGUUGAUAUCGGAAGGAACGCCGGUGGCGAAAGCGACGUGCUGGCCCUCUUCUGACGCUGAGGCGCGAAAGCUAGGGGAGCGAACGGG